Molecule: ribosomal RNA, 414 nt
Filed under: uncultured bacterium
Lineage: Bacteria
Description: bacterial SSU rRNA
Rfam family: Bacterial small subunit ribosomal RNA
Source: RNAcentral
UGAGGAAUAUUGGUCAAUGGGUGCAAGCCUGAACCAGCCAUCCCGCGUGAAGGACGACUGCCCUAUGGGUUGUAAACUUCUUUUGUAUAGGGAUAAACCUACCCUCGUGAGGGUAGCUGAAGGUACUAUACGAAUAAGCACCGGCUAACUCCGUGCCAGCAGCCGCGGUAAUACGGAGGGUGCAAGCGUUAUCCGGAUUUAUUGGGUUUAAAGGGUCCGUAGGCGGACUUAUAAGUCAGUGGUGAAAGCCUGUCGCUUAACGAUAGAACUGCCAUUGAUACUGUAAGUCUUGAGUAUCUUUGAGGUAGCUGGAAUAAGUAGUGUAGCGGUGAAAUGCAUAGAUAUUACUUAGAACACCAAUUGCGAAGGCAGGUUACCAAGAUAUAACUGACGCUGAGGGACGAAAGCGUGGGG